AACGUAGGUGGCGAGCGUUAUCCGGAAUUACUGGGCGUAAAGCGUGUGCAGGCGGGCUGUCAAGGGGUGUAUGAAAGCUCCCGGCUCAACCGGGAAGGGUUAUGCCAGACUGACAGUCUUGAGUGCGAGAGAGGAAUGUGGAAUUCCGGGUGUAGUGGUGAAAUGCGCAGAGAUCGGGAGGAACACCCGUAGCGAAGGCGGUUCUCUGGGCCGGUACUGACGCUGAGGAGCGAAAGCGUGGGGAGCAAACAGG
RNAcentral lists this ribosomal RNA (253 nucleotides) under uncultured bacterium. Its description in RNAcentral is "partial 16S ribosomal RNA". It matches the Rfam family "Bacterial small subunit ribosomal RNA", at positions 524 to 776 of the family's 1533-position model. The record is from RNAcentral.